UUUUCUCCCCACCGAUGGUUAUUAAGUUUUCUCCGCAUUUCAUAUCGAAAUGUUGGUACAGGAUCAAUGCAUAUGCGCGCAAGAACAAAAAUAGGUCCCAUUUCAAAAGUGCAAAUUUUUCUUUUUGCGUCAUUUUUGCUUUUGAUCAAUUGUUGGUAUGAUGUUGUUUUCUUCUUUUGCAUUCUUCCAGGGCACUUGUUAUUGUUAUUGCAAAAUUUUAUGCUACUUCGUUUUUGUAGAUGGUAAUUUAUUGAUUAGCUUCCUAUAAUACACCCCUUUUUAAUGUGUACUGAAAACAUAAAUUUUAGUAAAUUCAUAAAUAAUUCAGCAGUGAAGCAGUAAACUGUGUAUUUACGAAAGACAAUAAAAUUUAUACUUAUAUUAACUGCAUUUUCUGCAUCUUCGUAGGUCAUGCGAAAAUAACUCUUCACCUAUUUUGUGGGAUUGAGAGAGUAUUAUUUGCUACACAAUGAGAGGAUUCCCAAUAACGCAACACUGUGCCAAUAAUUUCUUAAGAAAAUCAACAAUUUGAUCCGCAUAAGAAGAAGAACAAGUAGAAACAGAAACAAAUGGAUGACAAGCAAUUAACGAGUGCACAUAAUUCAGAUCUUAAAUGUGUUCAUAGAAAACCACUACUUAAAGCUAUUUGCUUUCGUUCUAUGUAUCUGAAUAAACAUAAUACAUAUCAUUAUUGAAUGUUAACGGAAUCUCAGGUGCUACAAUCAAAGGAGUCGUGUAAUCAGAGAAGAUAGAGAUGGAGGAGGCGAGAGAGAGAGAGGCGACGCAAUUAAAUUGAUUAGCUCCGAUUUACCUUGCGGUGAUGUACGCGUCCGACGGCGGUCACGGAGUCGCGGUUAAGAGAGCGGGGUUCAGCAAGGCGUCUCUAAAGGCGGAGGCUUGAAAAGAAAAA
Molecule: long non-coding RNA, 910 nt
Filed under: Manihot esculenta (cassava)
Lineage: Eukaryota; Viridiplantae; Streptophyta; Magnoliopsida; Malpighiales; Euphorbiaceae
Description: long non-coding RNA (MESC_LNC002798)
Source: RNAcentral